This 745-nucleotide unclassified non-coding RNA is filed under the name Hevea brasiliensis (rubber tree). Lineage: Eukaryota; Viridiplantae; Streptophyta; Magnoliopsida; Malpighiales; Euphorbiaceae. The record is from RNAcentral.
GAUCUUUGUCAAAACUGGGAUAAUCUCAUCUUUGAACUUUCCAGAAGCAGUUGCAGCAGCUGCUCGCUGGUGAGAAAUAACAGCAGCCUGGUCUUGUUCUAGCCGCGUCACUCCAAAUCGCUGUGCAACAUUCUCAGAAGUGAUGCCCAUAGGGAGAAGGCAGUCACGGGCUUGUGCAAAAGCAUCUACUUUCGGAUUAGCUUUUACAACUAGUCCAAUAUUGUCAACUGUCAUGAACUCUAGUCCAGCACCAAUGCCUAUGUCGUAGAAUCCUGCUUUUAUUGCUGCCGCUACAUCAGCAACAGCUUGGAGGCCAGAAGAACAUUGCCUGUUCACAGUUCUGAUUGGCACAGUAUCUGGAAAACCAGCAUAAAAUGCUGCCAUCCUGCACUCCAUUGCUCUUAUUGAACCAGGUGCCAAAACCGUACCAACAACAAUAUCUCCCACCUCACUUGGGUUCAGGUUGGUUUUCUCAACUACUGCCUUGAGAACUGGAGCAAGUAAAUCAUCUGAUAGUGUAUCCUUAAAACCUCCACGUUUAGCUUUGCAAAUAGCAGUACGGUAAGCUGCAACGAUCACGACAUCAUCCCCAAAAGCAGAUGUCCUAUGGUAUGCAGAACUGUCACCAGCUAAACAAACUGAAGGAGUGAUAGAAGAAGAACGAAUGGGCUGAAGAUGCUCCAAUAGAACUCUCUGCUUUUCAAUAGCUUUCUCCAUGAUCAAUUCCUCUUUUUUUCCCUUUGAG